RNAcentral lists this ribosomal RNA (225 nucleotides) under Klebsiella pneumoniae. RNAcentral describes it as "partial 16S ribosomal RNA". It matches the Rfam family "Bacterial small subunit ribosomal RNA", at positions 700 to 924 of the family's 1533-position model. Lineage: Bacteria; Pseudomonadati; Pseudomonadota; Gammaproteobacteria; Enterobacterales; Enterobacteriaceae. The record is from RNAcentral.
GGAGGAAUACCGGUGGCGAAGGCGGCCCCCUGGACAAAGACUGACGCUCAGGUGCGAAAGCGUGGGGAGCAAACAGGAUUAGAUACCCUGGUAGUACACGCCGUAAACGAUGUCGAUUUGGAGGUUGUGCCCUUGAGGCGUGGCUUCCGGAGCUAACGCGGUAAAUCGACCGCCUGGGGAGUACGGCCGCAAGGUUAAAACUCAAAUGAAUUGACGGGGGCCCGC